RNAcentral lists this ribosomal RNA (196 nucleotides) under uncultured bacterium. Its description in RNAcentral is "partial 16S ribosomal RNA". It matches the Rfam family "Bacterial small subunit ribosomal RNA", at positions 328 to 539 of the family's 1533-position model. The record is from RNAcentral.
ACGCUCGACACCUACGGGAGCAGCAGUGGGGAACAUUGCACAAUGGGGGAAACCCUGAUGCAGCGACGCCGCGUGAGCGAAGAAGUAUUUCGGUAUGUAAAGCUCUAUCAGCAGGGAAGAAACUGACGGUACCUGACUAAGAAGCACCGGCUAAAUACGUGCCAGCAGCCGGGUAAUCUGAGCGGGCUGGCAAGGC